GAUGAACGCUGGCGGCGUGCCUAAUACAUGCAAGUCGAGCGAACGGACGAGAAGCUUGCUUCCCUGAUGUUAGCGGCGGACGGGUGAGUAACACGUGGAUAACCUACCUAUAAGACUGGGAUAACUUCGGGAAACCGGAGCUAAUACCGGAUAAUAUUUUGAACCGCAUGGUUCAAAAGUGAAAGACGGUCUUGCUGUCACUUAUAGAUGGAUCCGCGCUGCAUUAGCUAGUUGGUAAGGUAACGGCUUACCAAGGCAACGAUGCAUAGCCGACCUGAGAGGGUGAUCGGCCACACUGGAACUGAGACACGGUCCAGACUCCUACGGGAGGCAGCAGUAGGGAAUCUUCCGCAAUGGGCGAAAGCCUGACGGAGCAACGCCGCGUGAGUGAUGAAGGUCUUCGGAUCGUAAAACUCUGUUAUUAGGGAAGAACAUAUGUGUAAGUAACUGUGCACAUCUUGACGGUACCUAAUCAGAAAGCCACGGCUAACUACGUG
Molecule: ribosomal RNA, 497 nt
Filed under: uncultured bacterium
Lineage: Bacteria
Description: partial 16S ribosomal RNA
Rfam family: Bacterial small subunit ribosomal RNA
Source: RNAcentral